Molecule: non-coding RNA, 647 nt
Organism: Oryzias latipes (Japanese medaka)
Lineage: Eukaryota; Metazoa; Chordata; Actinopteri; Beloniformes; Adrianichthyidae
Source: RefSeq, a predicted model, not a curated record
UGCUCUUCCGCCACACAGGUGGCCUAAUUAACCUCAUUUGCCGCUGGUCACUGUUUUACGCUAAACUGUAGUUAAUUCCCGUUUAUUAUAUUCAAACUAAUCGAGCUGUCACAGUUCAUUAAAUUUAGAAAAAACUCCGAGAAUCUUGCUAAACCGCUGUUGUUUUCAGGCAUGACAGAGGACCCCUAAAACCAGGCAUGACUCAGCAGAACCCAGAGGAGCACGAGGAUGUCCUGCAGACACAGAAAUCCCUGAGAACGAACACCGACAGUUUCCACACGAAGCCGUGAAGCUUGAAGGCGGUCGCAAAAUGAAUCCUCAUCUGGAGUUUCUUCAGUGGAUGAGCAGGAGGAGGAAGAGGAAGAGGAGAGCUGGAUCCUUUCAGGAAGAGUUACCUUGCAGAACAGCAGGUUGAGCUGCUUCCCCGAGCCGUGGUACCCCCCCUGGGACAGGAAGAGCUUGACCUGCUCCUGGACCUGCUCCUCGUCUAGAUGCCAGCAGUUCUCAUCGUCCACGCUGGCGCCCGCCGUCGGAUCUGGAGCUCCUGCAGCAACAAACGCGAACUCAUCAACUGUUCAGGGUUUAUAUUCAUGUCCAAAACAUUGACUUCCUUCAACACUGUUGUUAAAUAAAACACAUGGAGUAAA